CCCCCAUGUAAUGAUAGACUGUCAGCUCUGAACACCACCUUCCCUUUUGCCACAUUUCUGCCGCCUCAAGGGGUGAGGGUUGCAGGUCAGCGUCCUGGGCACAGCUUGACGAUGGCAGUGGUCAGCUCUGAAGUGUGUUGAGUGCCAGGCUCCCAAACUUGGCCACCAGAGCGAACCAGCAAGCUUUCUGGCCACCUUUCCCGUUCGUUUCCGAGUCCUUAGAAAGCAUAGGGAUAGAAGAAGCGAUUGAGAAAAGUCACUGCAGGCUGAGAGUCGACUGGCGCCUGGCGCCUUGGUUCCUCUAGGUCUUUGCGUCGGCAUACGGUGGUGACUUCGCCAAAGAGGUCACCAGCAUCAUCGUGGCAGUUUUGGUGCCGGACUUCCGAGGUCCUCGACAGCCCUCUGUUCGUCUUCGGGCUAUGUGCUGAGAGCAGCCCAAGGGCUGAGGUCUGCGUGGCCAAGUCCAAGGCAGCGCACUCCGUGGCUGAUGCGCUCUCCACGAGACGCCCCUUUUCAGCACCCACAGCCUCCCAUGUCGGGGCGCUCCUAAGUCCUUGCACUGGCUACUUGGUGGGACCCCACCCUGAGACUAGGAACAGAGCUAGCUGAUGGAAAGGGGUGUUACAACCUGCAGUCUCGGAGCUGUCGCCCUGCUGCCUGCCAAGACCUGUGCACGGAGGGCAGGGCCCUAGAGCUCAGCUGAGCUCGGUGGAAGCCCCGCGAUCUGGCAGCAGCUGUGGCUCGGGUGCAGCCAAUUCGGCGCUAGAGGGGGUUUGCUAUGUUGCCGAGCAUGUGGUCAAUUUUAGAGAAGGUUCCAUGUGGUGCUGAGAAGCAGACAUAGAGCAACAGAUCACUAGCCUGCAUUCCACACUGCCAGAGGAGCUAGGAAACAAGGAGGACCCCAAGAGAAGAUUGCAUAGUUCCUCGAAGAAGGGGAUGGGGACAAGAAUCCCUGACCAAAUUGGAGCCCUGGGGCAGGGAGAGGAAGGAGAGUCUUCAUCUAGUUGCUGUU
This 1012-nucleotide long non-coding RNA is filed under the name Cricetulus griseus (Chinese hamster). RNAcentral describes it as "lncRNA (ENSCGRG00015031408.1)". The record is from RNAcentral. Lineage: Eukaryota; Metazoa; Chordata; Mammalia; Rodentia; Cricetidae.